This is a long non-coding RNA of Solea senegalensis (Senegalese sole), 919 nucleotides long. RefSeq lists it as uncharacterized. The transcript has 2 exons. The record is from RefSeq and is a predicted model, not a curated record. NCBI's taxonomy places the organism in Eukaryota, Metazoa, Chordata, Actinopteri, Pleuronectiformes, Soleidae.
CCACUAAUAUCCUGCGCGCGGCUGCAAAGCGAGUUUCACUCACACACUCUAUGCAUCAAGACUUGUGAUCCACCUGGUGAGACUGGGAGCACAGCGUGUCGGAGCCAGACACUGUUUCAAUCACAUGGCAAGCCGGAAUUGGAGGAGAUGUGUUCCUAAGAAAAUCAGAGAGCUGUGUGCAAUCAAGAGUCUCCUUCUCCCCGCUUUACACAUUCACUAACACACACGUACAUGCGAUCCAGUUGGCAAUCCAAUCCACUGUUAUGUUGGCUGCGGUCAGGAAGUGCUAAUGAAGUUAUUAAUGAUAUUCAUAUGUGCAGUGGCGUGCAAUCGGGGGGGGGAGGGGACCAGGCCUCCUUAAGCCAGCUGGUCGAUGUGUUAAAUUCAUGAUAAUCAAUAAAGUGGGGAAGUGAGAGGAGGAGACUUUCACUUAUAAAUAAACAGACGGAUACAGAUGAUGCAGGCAAAAACAUAGGAUAACAAAGGAACUGCUGCUUUCCAUUAACAGAUUGGUGGUCAGUCCAAGUCCUAAGAUCAUCCACAGAGUAGGGACGCUCUGUUAUCGCAGCAAUUGUUAAACUCAGCAAUUAAGAUGGCGGAGGGACUGGGAGACAGUCAGUCCUCAGCUCCAUGCUCCACUACAAGGGCUGCAUGAAGUAAGGACCUCCUUCUCACUGCGGCCUCACUGGUUGUCUAACGACUCCCUCUGCUGGAUGUCCACGUUGAUCAGAGUCACGGGCCGUCUCAUCGGCUUAUCUGAUUUCUGUGAGGUUUUAUUCUCUACAGCUCCACAAUCAGUCUGUCUUUCUAACAUGAUUUAAUUAAUACAAUUUUGAAUCCUUAAAAAACUGCUUUCCGAGUGCAUGUUUCUAUUCAGUGGUCAUAUGAUUUAAAAAAAUAAAUAAAAAAUGACACAGGA